Molecule: long non-coding RNA, 632 nt
Filed under: Mus spicilegus (steppe mouse)
Lineage: Eukaryota; Metazoa; Chordata; Mammalia; Rodentia; Muridae
Description: lncRNA (ENSMSIG00000024617.1)
Source: RNAcentral
UGGAUUUCUGCUGCGUUCCGGAACCCUAGUCAGGAAGCCCCCCUCAUCGUAUUUCCUCCUUUUGCAGACCUGUAAGGAUUGUGCUCAUGUGGGUUGAAGAGCGGGCCUAAUAAGUUUCAGGUUCCAGAUACGGAACAGCUUGGCUGUUCUUUGUCUUUGGAGUAGCAAUAGGGACCGGUUCUAAAAGGUACAGAUGUGGACUGUGUGAAGUGUGUGGUUAAUUGACGUAUGCUCGGAGUAACAUUGUUGGGUAUAGGAUAAUCAGCUGUUCCUUUUUUUAAUUGCUAGAUUCCUUUGGAGAAUUCUGGAAGAAGCACGUUUCUAUUUUCAAGUCAAAUUAUUCACUGAUAAGUUUCAGGUGAGAAAUGGGUAAGGAACAACUUGACAUUUAGUCCAUGAAGAAGAUGCAGGCAUGGUAACAGUCUACAGGUUACCUUGCAGAAGGAACGUGGCUUGAGAAAGCUAAUGUGAAAUCAAUGCUAAACUUUGUUAACUACUGCCAUUAAGACUCGUAGACCAAAAGCAUUUUUUUUCUAGUUCAUCUCUAAAUCAAUUACCAAGAUACUUUCAGGUAAGGUAGUCAUUCAAAGAUGACAUAAUGUGAUGUGUAAUUUGGUAAUUAUUGCACCAAG